This 253-nucleotide ribosomal RNA is filed under the name uncultured bacterium. RNAcentral's name for it is "partial 16S ribosomal RNA". It matches the Rfam family "Bacterial small subunit ribosomal RNA", at positions 524 to 776 of the family's 1533-position model. The record is from RNAcentral.
UACGGCGGGUGCAAGCGUUAUCCGGAUUCACUGGGUUUAAAGGGUGCGUAGGUGGGUUGGUAAGUCAGUGGUGAAAUCUCCGUGCUUAACAUGGAAACUGCCAUUGAUACUACUGAUCUUGAAUUUUCAGGAGGUAAGCGGAAUAUGUCAUGUAGCGGUGAAAUGCUUAGAUAUGACAUAGAACACCAAUUGCGAAGGCAGCUCACUACAGGAAUAUUGACACUGAUGCACGAAAGCGUGGGGAUCAAACAGG